GAUGAACGCUGUCGGCGUGCCUAAUACAUGCAAGUCGAGCGAACAGAUAAGGAGCUUGCUCCUUUGACGUUAGCGGCGGACGGGUGAGUAACACGUGGGUAACCUACCUAUAAGACUGGGAUAACUUCGGGAAACCGGAGCUAAUACCGGAUAACAUUUGGAACCGCAUGGUUCUAAAGUGAAAGAUGGUUUUGCUAUCACUUAUAGAUGGACCCGCGCCGUAUUAGCUAGUUGGUAAGGUAACGGCUUACCAAGGCAACGAUACGUAGCCGACCUGAGAGGGUGAUCGGCCACACUGGAACUGAGACACGGUCCAGACUCCUACGGGAGGCAGCAGUAGGGAAUCUUCCGCAAUGGGCGAAAGCCUGACGGAGCAACGCCGCGUGAGUGAUGAAGGGUUUCGGCUCGUAAAACUCUGUUAUUAGGGAAGAACAAACGUGUAAGUAACUGUGCACGUCUUGACGGUACCUAAUCAGAAAGCCACGGCUAACUACGUG
This 497-nucleotide ribosomal RNA is filed under the name uncultured bacterium. RNAcentral describes it as "partial 16S ribosomal RNA". It matches the Rfam family "Bacterial small subunit ribosomal RNA", at positions 28 to 507 of the family's 1533-position model. The record is from RNAcentral.